UCCGGGGUAGCUCAGUUGGCAGAGCAGCGGACUGUUAAUCCGCGUGUCGUGGGUUCGAGUCCCACCCCCGGAGCCA
Molecule: transfer RNA, 76 nt
Filed under: Acidobacteriota bacterium
Lineage: Bacteria; Pseudomonadati; Acidobacteriota
Also listed under: 2 other names
Description: Acidobacteria bacterium tRNA-Asn
Rfam family: tRNA
About the family: Transfer RNA (tRNA) molecules are approximately 80 nucleotides in length. Their secondary structure includes four short double-helical elements and three loops (D, anti-codon, and T loops).
Source: RNAcentral